Molecule: ribosomal RNA, 253 nt
Filed under: uncultured bacterium
Lineage: Bacteria
Description: partial 16S ribosomal RNA
Rfam family: Bacterial small subunit ribosomal RNA
Source: RNAcentral
UACGUAGGGUGCGAGCGUUGUCCGGAAUUAUUGGGCGUAAAGCGCGCGCAGGCGGUCUUCCAAGUCAGUGGUGAAAGCCCGGAGCUCAACUCCGGAACUGCCAUUGAAACUGUUAGACUUGAGGACGAGAGAGGUGAGUGGAAUUCCCAGUGUAGAGGUGAAAUUCGUAGAUAUUGGGAAGAACACCGGUGGCGAAGGCGGCUCACUGGCUCGUAUCUGACGCUCAGGCGCGACAGCGUGGGGAUCAAACAGG